CCUCCUUUCCCCCACGCCUCUUUCUCUCAAAUCUCCCUUCUCUCUCGCCUCUGCCGGAAACGUCUGCCACCGCCGGCACCGAUCAGCCGCCGGCCAUCUCUCCCUUCUUCCCUUCUCUCCUUCUUUCCUCUCUUCUCACUCUCUCUUUCGGUCUCCCUCUCCGCCAGCACCGCCGCCGGCUGGAAACUGCCGCUGCUGUCGUCGGGCUGCCGCCGCCGCUGCGCCGGCCGCCGUCGCCGUCGUCGCUCGGGAGAAAUUAAGAGGGGUUGAAAAGGAGCCAAGAAGUGUCGUUGUUUGCCGGAUUUCGCCACCACCGCCGGAUGCUGUCGCCGCCGCCGACCCGGCGCUGCCUCUGUUGCUGACAGAGGACAGAAACUCCAGCCAGGUCCAAACCAUUGAAGGGGAAACAGAUAAACACAUUUCUGUUAGGAGAAAGCAUAGAGACAGCGUUGAGCCACUUUUUUUAUGCUAGCCUAUAUGCGCAAGGUCAAAUGAGCCCUUUAUGCUAACCAGGCCACUUUUCACAUUCACAACGAGUUUAUGAGUUUUCUAGAGAAUCGGUCCACCUAGAGCUCAAAUGCAUUUCCAAUUUCCCCCCCCCCCGGCUUCGUCAGGAAUAAGUGGUAGCGUUUACUCAUCUAGCCUUGUUAGCAUUGGAAUGGGUGCUAUGCCCUAAACACCGGAAAUUGGCUCUGACGAUAUAGAACCUGUUGGAUCCCAGAUUCCUUCUAGUUCCUUCAUCUCACAUUUCAAUUGGCGAUGGUCCACAAACUCCUGAAAACGACAUCAUUCCUUCAUUCUCUCUUGCUUUGGCUAGCUACUGAUGGAACCUUCCAGUUAUGCAAAAGAAACUGGAAAUGCUGCAUAUCCUACUAAUGCAACUCUGUCUUCCUAGCAUCUUGGGACUAAUGUCUGUGAGCCAUUUAUGUACCAUACUAUCUCAGAGAAGUAUACAAUGGAAUGGAGGGUAGCGUAUUACUGCUCCUAGCCAAUUUUGGCCACUUUGAUAUUAAGUGUCUCUCAGUUCAUACUAAAGCCGUCAAUGAAGAACUACUGCAAAAUCUGUCUGAUGCUCUUCGCUUGUCGGUACCUGAUAAAAUUGGAGUUGAUCUUGCUUUGUCUAAAACUGACGAUCACGAUAUCAGGAUGUGUGGAAAGAAUUUUUCUUUGAGUCAGAUUAAAGAGCUGUGUGCCUAUCUAUUGCAUUUGAGGCGACUGAGAUGAUUCAAAAUAUGCUCGUGUUACACUUAGUUGAUCUAACGGCCUCUCUAAGCAUUCAGAUUCAUUCUUGCAAAUGUUAGCUCUUGUGCAACUAAGGUGCUUUCCGUGAUAGUUCCUCGUGCAAAAAUAAACUAGAAUUUCUUAGUCAAUCUGAAGGCCAAGGCCCAACUACGUGGAGAUCACUUCUUCAGGUGGAAGAGCAAGAUCUGGGGACGGCGGCCCGGUGGGGGCAAGUCGUAUGGCGGUAGGGGGAGACUUAGUUCUUAACUUAUAAGAAGCCGGGGGAAAUGGCUCUUCCCAAGUACUUCCUAGAUAUGUUUCUUUUUUACUUUGGCAUUCGGUUUGCUGUACCUGCAUUAAAAAAGAAAUCAUGGGCCUUGGAAGCUGGAUGAGCACUCAAUUAGUGUCUAGUAAAGAUGCUUUGUAUGAGGAAUAGAUCAAGUUUCUGAAGGAUGUUCAGGACCUCUCUCCUAGUCACAUUCAAUCUUUGGGUUCACUUUUGAAUAUCUUUCUGGUUGUGUGUAAGGCUGCGUAGCAAGUAGAACUCAGUCCCGUGUUGAGAGCACUACUUCAGCGUUGAUAAGUUCUAGAGAUAUCCCCUGUUCUUCUUCAGCGAGGGACUAACCCCGGAGUUGUCCAGGUUCUCGCUUCCUGUAUAGGGGUGUGAUCCUGGCACCACCCCUUACUUGCUUUCUACCCAAACAAGAAUCACUAACAGAGUUGACACCGAUGAAUGGAAUCCAUCCACUGAUACACAUCUUCCUUGAUUGAUAACCGCUCUGCAAAUGUUGUGAUGCACUCAAAAUUUUAAAUAUCAUUUCCAGCUUUUUUGUUUGUCUACGACAGUUAGAUCAUCUAUCGAGGGACCGAAUUUGCUUUAGAUUGCAAACUUGAGUUUGCUCAUACUGCUCAUCGAAAUUCUGCUGCUGUUCAUUCCUGGUUGAGUGUAAGUCUGCGUAGCAAGUAGAAGUCAUUCCUGUGUUGAGAGCGCUACUUCAGUGUUGAUAAGUUCUAGAGUAUCCCCUGAUCUUCAACAGUGAGGUGUUAUAGCUGUAACCAUUACUCGUAGGAUUUUUAUGCUAGAGCACUUUGAGCACAAACUUUUGCAGGAACUAACCCGGAGUUGCCCUGGUUCUCACUUCCGGUAUAGGGGUGUGAUCCUGACACCACCCCUUAAUUGCUUUCUACUCAAACAAGUAAGUAUUCUAUCCUCUUUACAUUUUUUGUCCUUCACAUUGAGGGUAAUGUUUAGAAUAGUUUUGAGGUGUGGGUGUCUGCUUGCAUUCUUCUUUUUGGGGUUGUAAUUUAUCCUAUUUGUGUGUAUAUGUAAGGUUUUCUCUCUAUUAAUUGUCACCAGAAACACUUUUUAAUGGUUUAUUAGUGUAGACUUAGUUUCUCUCAAGGGUUGGAGAACUAAGAUUCCCUAAUUUAAAACACCUUACUUACUUAUAUUUUAAUAUGUGAAAAUGAAUUUGUGCUGCUGAACAGGACAUGCUGCUGAACAAGGCCAAGUACAUAUAUUUUCUAUGGUCGCUUGAAAUUUUCUCUGUGGUGAACGUGGAGUCUGUAGAUGUUUUUUUCCGUUGAAUGGGAUUUACUUUUUAAAUCAAUAAUACUAGCAAAUAACUGAUAUAAAAACAUUGGUAAAGGCUUGUGUUAAUUUAGUCCAUUGAGCAUGGGUUUGGAAUUCAUAUUGUUUGUAUUUUGUCCUUGUUGCCUUUUUUAACCUUGUUUACAUGCAGUCCAAACCAGUGAUGGGGAAUAGAUCAACAACUUUCUAUUAGGAGAUAGCAUAGAGACAGUGUUGUGCCACUUUUUUGAUGCUAGCAUUUAUGUGCAAGGUCAAGUGAGCCUUUUGUCCUAAGCUAGGCCACCUGUCACAUUCACAAAACGAGUUUAUGAGGUGAUUCCGGACAAAGUCUAGGACAUCUAAGUUGAUUCAGGAAAGAAUCGAUCCAUCCAGAGCUCAAAUGCAUUUCCAGUUUGCCCCUCUGCUUCGUCAGUGGGUGGAUUUUCCUGGAAAUUUGCAUCUCUACUUCUGACCAAAUGAGUGUUAGCACUGGAAUUGGUGCUAUUCCCCACACACCUGAAAUUGGCUCUGACGAGAUGGAUCCUGUUGGAUCCCAGAUUCGUACAAGCUACUGAUGGACACUAAUACAAAUCUGUCUUCCGAGCAUCCCGGGACAAAUGUCUCUGCGCCAUUUAUAACCUUUGGUGAUGCAUUGCACAUGAUAAUAUUUCCGAUGAUGACUAUAUAAUUUCAAAAGCUGGGCUCGGUCUAGAAGUGGGAAUGAUGUCAAUCCUACAUGAUAAUGAAGCACAAGUCUGAAUAGCAGCUGCCGAAAAGGAGUUAAGGAGGAGCUAACUUGUAAAGGAGGCAUGAUGAGGGAAGAAAUACCUAACUUCCCAUGCAAACAAGAGAGUAUUUUGUUUCCCCUCACAUUUUUUUUCCUUCACAUAAAGGGCAAUGUUAAGAUUAAGAUUUGGGGUGAGGGUGUUUGUGUACAUGCUUGAUUAUGUGGUUGUAAAUAAUUUUAUUACUCUAUCUCCGAUGUGUUGAUUCUGAAGGACCCUUUUUCUGAAGUGUAUAUAACGAUGCGAAUACUAAAGAAGUUAUGUGUUUUAAAUAGCAGGACUAUGCCAUGGAGCCCGAUGAGAAACUUAUGCGAAAUGCAGCACAUUAGAUGAUAGCAAGGAACCUUUACGUGGUUCAGUAUCAAGCCAACUCAGAAGGUCACUUCAGGGCUUGGCCAUAGCAAAGGAUCUUCUGGAGCAGUCAUUUUAGCGGGUGACUAAUGGAAUCACAUGCAGCGAUGAUACCGAUGAAUGGAAUCCAUCCACUGAUACACAUCUUCCUCGAUCGAUAGCCGCUCUGGAAAUGUUGAGUGCAAGGCUGCGCUGCAAGCAGAACUCGGUCCGUUGUUGAGAGCGCUAUUUCAGUAUUGAUCAUGUUCCAGAGAUGUCCCCUGAUCUUCAACAAUGAGUUGUUAUAGUUGUAACCACUAAACGUUCUCGCUUCUGUUAUAGGGGUGUGAUCCUGGCGCCAUCCCUUACUUGCUUUCUUACUCAAACAAUCCAACCCAUUUAUGGGAAAAUAGAUCGAUUACUUUCUAUUAGAAGAAAGCAUAGAGACAGUGUUGUGCCACUUUUUUUAAUGCUAGCCUUUAUGCUGGAGGUCAAACGGAAGCCCUUUAUCCAAAGCCAAGGCACAUGUCACAUUCACAACGAGUUUAUGAGAAUCGAUCCACCCAGAGCUUCAAAUGCAUUUCCAGUUCGCCCCUCGGCUUCAUCAGGAGCUGGAUUAUCCAGGCAAUUUGCAUCACCACUUCUGACCAAAUGAGUGCUAGCAUUUACUCAUCUGGCCUUGUUAGCACUUGAAUUGGUGCUAUGCCCCAUACACCGGAAAUCGGCUCUGACAAGAUAGAACCUGUUGGAUCCCAAAAACUAAUACAAAUCUGUCUUCCGAGCAUCCCGGGACAAAUGUCUCUGCGCCAUUUAUAACCUUUGGUGAUGCAUUGCACAUGUAACAUACUAUCUCAGAGAAGAUAUAUAUACUAUGCGCCUUAACUCUUAAAUAUCAAUUCCUUAAAUCUCGUGCCCAAAAAAUUGCCUCGCUCAUGGUUGGACGGAGUGAGUACAAAAUAACAAACUAUAGCUAUAUAUUUAUUUUACUAUUAUCUUAGUUGGUAAUUGGUAUCCUCCAAUAUGUUGAUGUCAACUUAUUAUGUUGUUUUCCUUUUUUAAGACAUGGUGGAUUAAGCAUAAAACUUUUACUGACUUUUCCAACUCUUAAUUUGAUCAUGCGUUUUACCUAGACUUCAAUUGUAGAAUCCACAUCCAACAAGGUAUGAAUGUUAUUUAUUGAGCUAAUUACAUGUGUAAAGCUACAUUGCUUUGCAUCAUGGACAUUAGAUUGCUAUGUAGGUAAAUUACUGCUUCUAUACUGUUUGCAAAGAACCGAGCUUAAGCAGAUUGUUCUUGAGUUGCUCAAAUUAUGCACUGAUUCUCAGGAUAAUAUUUCCGAUGAUGACUAUAUAAUUUCAAAAGCUGGGCUCGGUCUAGAAGUGGGAAUGAUGUCAAUCCUACAUGGAGUUAAGGAGGAGCUAACUUGUAAAGGAGGCAUGAUGAGGGAAGAAAUACCUAACUUCCCAUGCAAACAAGAGAGUAUUUUGUUUCCCCUCACAUUUUUUUUCCUUCACAUAAAGGGCAAUGUUAAGAUUAAGAUUUGGGGUGAGGGUGUUUGUGUACAUGCUUGAUUAUGUGGUUGUAAAUAAUUUUAUUACUCUAUCUCCGAUGUGUUGAUUCUGAAGGACCCUUUUUCUGAAGUGUAUAUAACGAUGCGAAUACUAAAGAAGUUAUGUGUUUUAAAUAGCAGGACUAUGCCAUGGAGCCCGAUGAGAAACUUAUGCGAAAUGCAGCACAUUAGAUGAUAGCAAGGAACCUUUACGUGGUUCAGUAUCAAGCCAACUCAGAAGGUCACUUCAGGGCUUGGCCAUAGCAAAGGAUCUUCUGGAGCAGUCAUUUUAGCGGGUGACUAAUGGAAUCACAUGCAGCGAUGAUACCGAUGAAUGGAAUCCAUCCACUGAUACACAUCUUCCUCGAUCGAUAGCCGCUCUGGAAAUGUUGAGUGCAAGGCUGCGCUGCAAGCAGAACUCGGUCCGUUGUUGAGAGCGCUAUUUCAGUAUUGAUCAUGUUCCAGAGAUGUCCCCUGAUCUUCAACAAUGAGUUGUUAUAGUUGUAACCACUAAACGUUCUCGCUUCUGUUAUAGGGGUGUGAUCCUGGCGCCAUCCCUUACUUGCUUUCUUACUCAAACAAUCCAACCCAUUUAUGGGAAAAUAGAUCGAUUACUUUCUAUUAGAAGAAAGCAUAGAGACAGUGUUGUGCCACUUUUUUUAAUGCUAGCCUUUAUGCUGGAGGUCAAACGGAAGCCCUUUAUCCAAAGCCAAGGCACAUGUCACAUUCACAACGAGUUUAUGAGAAUCGAUCCACCCAGAGCUUCAAAUGCAUUUCCAGUUCGCCCCUCGGCUUCAUCAGGAGCUGGAUUAUCCAGGCAAUUUGCAUCACCACUUCUGACCAAAUGAGUGCUAGCAUUUACUCAUCUGGCCUUGUUAGCACUUGAAUUGGUGCUAUGCCCCAUACACCGGAAAUCGGCUCUGACAAGAUAGAACCUGUUGGAUCCCAAAAACUAAAAGGAAUCAAAUUAGUAAAAUUCCGGUGAUCAUUUUUCAGUUCGCUCAUCUCAUAUUUCAAUUGGCGAUGGUCCACAAACUCUUGAGUUUGGGAGUGGCUAAUUUAUAAAGGAAUCAAGAUGAGAGAAGAAAUACCUAACCCCAUCACCUAACUUCCCAUGCAAACAAGGGAGUAUUUUGUUUACCAUGCAAAUAAUUAGAUUACUCUAUCUCGUUGAUUCUGAAGGACCCUUUUUUCCAUAGUAUAUAUAACAAUGCAAAGGCUAAAGAAGUUAUAUGUUUUUAAAUGGCAGGUCUAUGCCACGGAGCCUGUUGAGAAACUUAUACGAAAUGCAACACAUUUGUAGUGGCAAGGUUGAAAGGAAGUCAUGCUAAUGUAACUUGAAGGUUGAGUGUAAGGCUGCGUAACAAGCAGAACUCGGCCCCGUGAUGUGAGCUUUACUUCAGUGUUGAUCAAGUUCUUGAGAUGUCCCCUUUCAACAGUGAGGUACUUACCCUGGAGUUGCCCUGGUUCUCGGUUCCGGUAUAGGGGUGUGAUCCUAGCACCACUGCUUAUUUGCUUUCUACGCAAAAAAAUAAGAGUUAUUGAGGAGCCAACUUUUUAGGAGACACGAUGAGAAAAGGAAUUGCUUAACCCCCACCACCUAAUUUCCUAUGCAGACAAUGGAGUAUUCUGUCUCGCCUCACAUUUUAUUGUUCAUCACAUAAAGGGAAAUGUUUAGAUUCA
Salvia splendens (bonfire salvia) is the source of this 7138-nucleotide long non-coding RNA. RefSeq lists it as uncharacterized. The record is from RefSeq and is a predicted model, not a curated record. The transcript has 36 exons. NCBI's taxonomy places the organism in Eukaryota, Viridiplantae, Streptophyta, Magnoliopsida, Lamiales, Lamiaceae.